CAUCGAGUGGUCUGAUGGGAAGCAAGGGAUCAGUAGUCUGACCCCUAGCGUUCCCCCUUCUUCCCUCGAUCCCCAACGCCCCCCGAUCCUAUCGCCGCCGCUGCCUACCACGCCUCCUACCGGCGUGCCAGCACCAACGCCUCCUUCCCGGCGCACCGUCGUCCCCGCCUCCUCCCGGCACGAGGCCGCCUCCAGACUCCUCCUGGGACGCCGUCGCCCCCGCCUUCCUCCUGGCGCGCCGCCGCCCCUGUCUUCUUCAACUGCCACCAUGGACCACCACCUCUGCCCCGAUCCACCUUGGUAGUGGAUCCUGAGCGCCGUCGCUGACCAUGGAUCCUGGGCGCCGCCGCCUGUCUUUGGAUCCCGCCCGCCGCCGCCGGGGUCCCCGACUGAAGACGACCAAGCCAUGGAUCCUGGGUGCCAUCGCGGGCCGUGGAUCCCGGGGCGGCACCGCCUAGCUCUGAUCCCGCCGGCCGCCACCGAGGUUCCCGACUGAAGAUGCCCUAUGCCGCGGCACUCAGGCCAUUCGCCACCGCCACCUCUUGCAGUUCACCGCCACCAUCCAGCGCGCCCCCGGUCGCCCCCAGGACGCCAGGAACCACCUGACUCCCCUGGUUCGCCUACAUCGUGGGAUCACUUCGCGUCGGUUCGCGAGGCCACAACCCCUGCCCUCCAAUUUCAUCACUUUUUUGUGUUUGUCCUCUGAAAAAAUUGGCCAUCGUUGCAGGCUAGCUUCACCAGAUUAUUCAGUUCAGCUCUAAACAAAUGAGCAUUAUACUUUGUUGUCCAGUUUUGGGAAGGUUGAAAUUGUUCCAGAAGGUGAAAAAUAUGUCCAAGUAUAUCAGCAGCUUUGGGAAGGUAGAAAUUGUUCCAGAAGGUGAAAAAUAUGUCCAAGUAUAUUUUCUAGAACACCGACACUCUCUGGACAUCAUUGGUAUAUGCUACAAUUAUCCCUCGAGAUCGAUGUUAUCAACCACUAUCAAAUAUUCCCUGGACAUCAUUGGUACUACUAAUCUCCACAUAUAUGCACAACUAAGUGCAAUCAGUCUGUUCUGAACACCUGCAGCAGGCAUGGCCUCAUGCUACAGUUCAACUUUCAAGUAAAUUCUACUACUCCUAAAGUUCAGGGAAUAUUUGAUAUCAGUAAUCAGUUAGUAACUGACAUGAGUUUGUUAGUUACCUGUUACAGAGAGCCUGACAGGACUUCCUCCGCCGACAGACACUGCACGCCAUGAGAAAGUUCAGGGAAUAUUUGAUAGUGGAAGCUACACUGUCACUGUGCACCACAGCUGAUAAAGUUUCUCCAAUAAUGCUGCACCUUUUAUUUCCUCAUCAUCUGCCUUUCUCCCAAGCUUUUAGUAUUUCUUUUGCAUGCCAGAAUGGCUGGAGCGCAAAGUGAAGCCUGAAGCCAACCUGUGUUGUGAGCAUCAGUAGCUAGUCACGUGCUGCGCUGGGCCAACAAAACAGCUUGCAGUUUUGUUCAUUUCAAGGCGGUUAGGUGGGGUGGGAAUCCUAUUUAUUCAGAUGCGCUUGUACCAACACUAAUUAUUUUGAUUGACGUGAUAGUACUAAUCUACUGACAUGGUCCGGGAAAGGCCACUACAGUGACUAAAUUUAACCAGGGAUUCGCACUUUUGUGGCGCUGCAGAGAUCACAUCGUUUUUUCUAUGUUCAUCGUCAGAGUGCGAAUGGGAACUCCCACAUGUAAAGUUAGUACACAAGCACCGUGUAGUGUUAAAAACGCUUUUACAUUACAAGACGGAGGGAGGGAGUAAGAAAGUUGCUUAGAAGAGAUGCUUAAAAGAAUAAAUCAUUGGUAUAUUUUCUAGAACACCGACACUCUCUGGACAUCAUUGUUAUAUGCAUGCCGAUGUUAUCAAUCAACUUUAACAUAUAUGCUACAACUAUCCCUCGAGAUGGAACUGUUGUAGUAGACUUGUAUCCAUGCUGG
Molecule: ribosomal RNA, 1951 nt
Filed under: Triticum aestivum (bread wheat)
Lineage: Eukaryota; Viridiplantae; Streptophyta; Magnoliopsida; Poales; Poaceae
Description: partial small subunit ribosomal RNA
Source: RNAcentral